AUUGAACGCUGGCGGCAGGCCUAACACAUGCAAGUCGAGCGAGCGGCGGACGGGUGAGUAAUGUCUGGGGAACUGUCUGAUGGAGGGGGAUAACUACUGGAAACGGUAGCUAAUACCGCAUACCAUCAGAUGUGCCCAUAUGGGAUGAGCUAGUAGGUGGGGUAACGGCUUACCUAGGCGACGAUCCCUAGCUGGUCUGAGAGGAUGACCAGCCACACGGGAACUGAGACACGGCCCAGAUUCCUACGGGAGGCAGCAGUGGGGAAUAUUGCACAAUGGGCGCAAGCCUGAUGCAGCCAUGCCGCGUGUGUGAAGAAGGCCCUCGGGUUGUAAAGUACUUUCAGCGGGGAGGCGUUACCCACAGAAGAAGCACCGGCUAACUCCGUGCCAGCAGCCGCGGUAAUUC
RNAcentral lists this ribosomal RNA (406 nucleotides) under uncultured bacterium. Its description in RNAcentral is "partial 16S ribosomal RNA". It matches the Rfam family "Bacterial small subunit ribosomal RNA", at positions 30 to 526 of the family's 1533-position model. The record is from RNAcentral.